This 481-nucleotide ribosomal RNA is filed under the name uncultured bacterium. Its description in RNAcentral is "partial 16S ribosomal RNA". It matches the Rfam family "Bacterial small subunit ribosomal RNA", at positions 28 to 523 of the family's 1533-position model. The record is from RNAcentral.
GACGAACGCUGGCGGCGUGCCUAACACAUGCAAGUCGAACGGAGAUAUAAUUUCGGUUAUAUCUUAGUGGCGAACGGGUGAGUAACGCGUGAGCAACCUGACUCUUAGAGGGGGAUAACACUCGGAAACAGGUGCUAAUACCGCAUAAGACCACGACAUGGCAUCAUGACGAGGUCAAAGGAGCAAUCCGCGGAGAGAGGGGCUCGCGUCCCAUUAGAUAGAUGGCGGGGUAACGGCCCACCAUGUCAGCGAUGGGUAGCCGAGCUGAGAGGCUACUCGGCCACACUGGAACUGAGACACGGUCCAGACUCCUACGGGAGGCAGCAGUGGGGAAUAUUGGGCAAUGGGCGCAAGCCUGACCCAGCAACGCCGCGUGAGGGAAGAAGGCUUUCGGGUUGUAAACCUCUGUCCUUGGUGACGAAAAAAAUGACGGUAGCCAAGGAGGAAGCCCCGGCUAACUACGUGCCAGCCGCCGCCGUAA